GCUGGGUGUGGUGGUGCACACCUGUAAUCCCAGCUACUUGGAGGCUGAGGCAGGAGAAUCGCUUGAACCCAGGAGGCAGAGGAGCCUGGGUGACAGAGCAAGACUCUGUCUCAA
Unclassified non-coding RNA from Callithrix jacchus (white-tufted-ear marmoset), 114 nucleotides. It matches the Rfam family "Metazoan signal recognition particle RNA". From Rfam's summary of the family: The signal recognition particle (SRP) is a universally conserved ribonucleoprotein. It is involved in the co-translational targeting of proteins to membranes. Lineage: Eukaryota; Metazoa; Chordata; Mammalia; Primates; Cebidae. The record is from Ensembl.